Molecule: unclassified non-coding RNA, 345 nt
Filed under: soil metagenome
Description: partial contains 5.8S ribosomal RNA, internal transcribed spacer 2, and large subunit ribosomal RNA
Rfam family: 5.8S ribosomal RNA (bases 1-120)
Source: RNAcentral
GAUGAAGAACGCAGCGAAAUGCGAUACGUAAUGUGAAUUGCAGAAUUCAGUGAAUCAUCGAGUCUUUGAACGCACAUUGCGCCCUCUGGUAUUCCGGAGGGCAUGCCUGUCCGAGCGUCAUUGCUGCCCCCAAGCACGGCUUGUGUGUUGGGCUCCGUCCCCCGAUCCCGGGGGACGGGCCCGAAAGGCAGCGGCGGCACCGCGUCCGGUCCUCGAGCGUAUGGGGCUUUGUCACCCGCUCUGUAGGCCCGGCCGGCGCUUGCCGAUCAACCAAAUUUUUAUCCAGGUUGACCUCGGAUCAGGUAGGGAUACCCGCUGAACUUAAGCAUAUCAAUAAGCGGAGGA